This 754-nucleotide long non-coding RNA is filed under the name Cricetulus griseus (Chinese hamster). RNAcentral's name for it is "lncRNA (ENSCGRG00000024411.1)". The record is from RNAcentral. Lineage: Eukaryota; Metazoa; Chordata; Mammalia; Rodentia; Cricetidae.
AUGGAAUCAGUGGAUCACAUUUGGAAGCAGAGUUUGCUCCAGAGUCAUGCUACCUACGUUGAAAUCUCCAUUGUGCCAGGCCAUUACCAGCAAUACAUAAGAAGUGAAUGUGAGCAUAGAGCCAGGAACAUGGAAAAUACUCAAGACUCACCAGUGUUGAUAAAGAAGAGGAUGAGGUUUUAUCUAUUUCAAAAGAGGAGUUCAAUCUCCAAUGAAACAUGUCAUACUCUUUCCCAAUCAUCCGAUAAGUGUAUCUAUUUAUUCAUUUGGAGGCAAGGUAUCUAUCUUAUAGCCCAGAUUCAUCCUAAACGUGACUUCCAGUCAGAGAUGACCAUGAACUCUUGCUGCUCCUUCCUCCAUCUCGCAAAGACAGCGAUCGCAGGCCUAUACAGCUGUACCAUCUCACAUUCCUCUAAUAGAGAAACAUAAGCUAUGGUAUUUGCCAUCACCACGUUUGUUGCCUUCACUCACUCCCAUUUGAGGGUCACAAUCCCCAACUUUGAGGAAUAGAAAAUUCAAAUGGAAAAGUUGCCAUGAAGCAAUGAUAUAAAAUGCCAACUGGGCUACACGAUAAGGGAUCAGCAAAAGGACAGAGGCAGGGAGAGCUGGUCCUAACAUUAUGUGACAAGUGCUGGAGAACUCAAGAAUGCUUUCAAAGCAAGAAUUCAGAUGUCGACAAUUAUUGAAGGACAACACUACGUUGUGCGUGAAACAGCUGAUCACUGUCAGAUCAUGCUAGCUGCCUCACCUGUGU